Molecule: ribosomal RNA, 254 nt
Filed under: uncultured bacterium
Lineage: Bacteria
Description: partial 16S ribosomal RNA
Rfam family: Bacterial small subunit ribosomal RNA
Source: RNAcentral
UACGUAGGGAGCAAGCGUUGUCCGGAUUUAUUGGGCGUAAAGAGCUCGUAGGCGGCUAAGUAAGCCAGGUGUGAAACCUCCAGGCUCAACCUGGAGACGCCACUUGAUACUGCUUUGGCUUGAGUUCGGUAGGGGUAAGCGGAAUUCCUGGUGUAGCGGUGAAAUGCGCAGAUAUCAGGAGGAACACCGAUGGCGAAGGCAGCUUACUGGGCCGAUACUGACGCUGAGGAGCGAAAGCGUGGGGAGCGAACAGG